Molecule: ribosomal RNA, 253 nt
Filed under: uncultured bacterium
Lineage: Bacteria
Description: partial 16S ribosomal RNA
Rfam family: Bacterial small subunit ribosomal RNA
Source: RNAcentral
UACGGGGGGGGCUAGCGUUGUUCGGAAUUACUGGGCGUAAAGGGCGCGUAGGCGGCCUACUAAGUCGGACGUGAAAUCCCUCGGCUCAACCGGGGAACUGCGUCCGAUACUGGUGGGCUCGAAUCCGGGAGAGGGAUGCGGAAUUCCAGGUGUAGCGGUGAAAUGCGUAGAUAUCUGGAGGAACACCGGUGGCGAAGGCGGCAUCCUGGACCGGCAUUGACGCUGAGGAGCGAAAGCCAGGGGAGCAAACGGG